GGAGUAGGGAGAAGGGACCAUGUUGUGAACUGGACGCGCCCCACAGACGUGCCCUAGCAGCGCGCGCAGAGGAGCGGCUUAUUGCUUGGUCUGAGGAUCAAGAAAGCUGUGGCGUUAUAGCACUUGUCCCGAAAGUCCUUCUCCAAACUGACUCUGUUGAGAAAACGGCACCAAACUGACUCUGUUGAGAAAACGGCACCAAACUGACUCUGUUGAGAAAACGGCACCAAACUAACUCUGUUGAGAAAACGGCACCAAACUGACUCUGUUGAGAAAACGGCACCAAACUGACUCUGUUGAGAAAACGGCACCAAACUAACUCUGUUGAGAAAACGGCACCAAACUGACUCUGUUGAGAAAACGGCACCAAACUGACUCUGUUGAGAAAACGGCACCAAACUUACUCUGUUGAGAAAACGGCACCAAACUUACUCUGUUGAGAAAACGGCACCAAACUGACUCUGUUGAGAAAACGGCACUAAACUGACUCUGUUGAGAAAACGGCACUAAACUGACUCUGUUGAGAAAACGGCACCAAACUUACUCUGUUGAGAAAACGGCACUAAACUGACUCUGUUGAGAAAACGGCACCAAACUUACUCUGUUGAGAAAACGGCACCAAACUGACUCUGUUGAGAAAACGGCACCAAACUUACUCUGUUGAGAAAACGGCACCAAACUUACUCUGUUGAGAAAACGGCACCAAACUGACUCUGUUGAGAAAACGGCACUAAACUGACUCUGUUGAGAAAACGGCACCAAACUUACUCUGUUGAGAAAACGGCACCAAACUGACUCUGUUGAGAAAACGGCACCAAACUGACUCUGUUGAGAAAACGGCACUAAACUGACUCUGUUGAGAAAACAGAACAAUUUGAGAUAAUAUUGUUGUAAAACCAUAACCAUUUGAGAUCAGACACUGUUGUGAAUACAAAACACCCUUUGAAGACAGACAUUUGUGAAAACUGAACCCCCUGAAAACGGAACCCUUUAAAAACACUGUUGUGACAAGAUAAUCCUUUGAACAGACCUUUUUCCUUAUUUAUCCUGUUAGUAUUUUCUUGUGAUUUGUUUCAGUUCUGGUGAUCUAAAGAAGCAGACUAUCUGAAGCUGAAGACCAUCUCCAUCUGGACCUUAUCUGCAUUUGAAGACUGUCAAACAUCCACAUCAUUACAUUUAGUUAAUUUCCUUGCCAUUUUAUUGCUUAUUCAUAAUUUUAAUCCAACUUUCAUUUAUUAAAGACUGCAUAUUGCUUGUGGAUUGGAUUCCUUCUGUUUUUGAAUUAUAUGUACACUUUAUUGUUAUAUUAAAUAUUGUGUGUGGAUACUAA
Molecule: long non-coding RNA, 1330 nt
Organism: Astyanax mexicanus (Mexican tetra)
Lineage: Eukaryota; Metazoa; Chordata; Actinopteri; Characiformes; Acestrorhamphidae
Exons: 3
Source: RefSeq, a predicted model, not a curated record